UAGUGUACUAGUAUAUGAUCUAAGUGUUAAAAUAACAUUUAUAAGUUUAUAACAAAUGUUUUUUUGCAUAAAUCAUUUUUGUAUAGUGUUAAGAACCGAAAAAUAUUUUUAAAUGGCACCACUGUAUAUAACUGAUAAUAGUAUAAUAACAGUAUUAUCUCUGAAAAACUAACUUGUGUCAAAUGAUUAUUUAUUUUAAAUUAAAGGUAGGAUACUAGAUCUUAAAUCAUUAGUUAACAUCAAGUAGUUUGUGGCUUCUGUAAAAAAAGUGAGUGUGAGAAUUUUUUUUUUUUGUUUUUCUUUGUUGAAUAAUUCAUUAUUUUUGUAUAAUGUAUAAAACAGCUGGACAAUUAUUGGCAGAUUUAGGUCUAAUUUCCAUUCAUCAGUUGUUCAUAGUUCUCUCUGUUGACUUUCCGGCAAAACAUCUCUAAGUAUCUCUAAAUUAAAUUAUUAAUAAUGUUUAAGUUCAACUUUAACGCUGAAGAUUUGGAUGAGUCUAUAUCUAAUGAAAAUGAACAUCAAAUAGUCGAAACAGAAGAGUUAACUAAUCCUAAUACAUUAGCCACUUUGCCAUUUACAGAAUUGUUUGUUGGUGAUAAGUCUUUAAAACUGAUUCAUGAAUUUCCCAAUUCAUACAAUUCAGAUCUCAUUCCUGGUACUUAUGAAGGAGGAUUUAAACUUUGGGAAUGUACUCUUGACCUCUUAGAAUAUCUAAGCAAUAAUACCAUAUAUUGUAGAGAAAAGUCAGUAUUGGAUUUAGGCUGUGGUACUGGCCUUUUGGGUAUUUUUACAUUGCUUUCUGGAGCUCAGAAUGUUGACUUUCAAGAUUUUAAUAAAGAUGUAUUAACUAAUACAACUAUGAGUAAUGUAUUAGUAAAUUGUAAAGAAAGAUUAAAAGUUUGCAAGUACUAUUCAGGUGAUUGGAAAUCAUUUACUACAUUUAAUGAAGAUACAUAUGAUCUAAUUUUGACAUCAGAAACUAUAUAUAAUGUAAACAAUUAUACAAAGCUUAUCAAUUUAUUUGAAAAAAAAUUAAAACUAUCAGGAAGUAUUUUAUUAAUUGCCAAAAAUUAUUAUUUUGGUGUAGGUGGUUCUAUUACUGAGUUUUUAAAUUGCUUAAAAUAUUCUAAACUGAAUGCUGAUGUUGUUUGGACUAGUACAGAUGGAGUAAAAAAAACUUUGCUCAAUAUACAUUUUUAAAGUUUAUGUUUAUAAAUAUUAUAAGAACUAACAUUCAUAUAAUAACAUUGUUUAUGUUAAUUUAUAUUAUAAUAUAAAUAGAAAUUAAUUAAUAUUGUAUUUAUUUAAAUGUUAUAUUAUAUUAUAAUUCAUUAAGAAUUUGUACAAAGCAAAAGUUUUUAUUCACCAAAUAUUUUUUUUAGGUAGAUUUAAAAUUAGUAGUUUCAAGUAUCCCUAUUUAUUAAUUAAAAAAAUAUUCAACUAGGAAAAUUGUUAAUCCUUCACAUUAUCCAUUUAAAUUUCUUAGUCUUUUCCCAUAGUAUAGAGAAAAACAAUGUUAAAUCUUAGUAAAUGUUUUAUUUUAAUUUAUCUUUAUGAACUAAGUUUUAUUGUCAACCCUUUGAAAAAUUGAUUAUUUUAAUUAAUAAUUUAAUUUUAAAAAUUCACAUGUAUAUAAUAUGUAAAGAAGUGAUGCAUUUUGAUUAAGUAUUAAAAAUAAUAUUUUUAUAACAAUAAAUAGUAAUUGAACCAUUAUUUUGAAUAAAUGAAUUAAUGAUUUUAUUUUAUUUUUUAUAUUGUUCAUUGAAACGAUCUCCAAGUCUUUGUCAAUGCUUAAUGCUUAUCACAAGAUGUAUGCGGUCUUCACCCCCAGUGGAGUGGGAAUUAAUUGGAAACCAAAUGGCGCAAUCGGACAACAGCACGGGAAAUUUGUGGUUGCAAGAACCACACCUUUUUUUUACACUUCGCUAUGAAUUGAACUAACGACUGAGAGUCACAAUCAACUGUAUGACCACUGCGCCACUCAGGCCCCUAUAAUUAAUGAUUUUAAAUAAUUUUUUAUAUUUUAAUAAGUUACUUAUCUAAAUAAUCUUAUACAUUAAUAAUAUUUAGGCUAAUGUAUUUUAUAUUUAUAUAGUAUAGAAAUUUAUUCAAUUAAAUGAAAAAUUACAAAAAAGGUUUAAA
This is an RNA transcript of Aphis gossypii (cotton aphid), 2142 nucleotides long. It is a transcript of the gene named histidine protein methyltransferase 1 homolog, with no coding region annotated. NCBI's taxonomy places the organism in Eukaryota, Metazoa, Arthropoda, Insecta, Hemiptera, Aphididae. The transcript has 4 exons. The record is from RefSeq and is a predicted model, not a curated record.